GACGAACGCUGGCGGCGUGCUUAACACAUGCAAGUCGAGCGAGAAACCUUCGGGUUUCUAGCGGCGGACGGGUGAGUAACACGUGGGUAACCUGCCUCAAAGAGGGGGAUAGCCUUCCGAAAGGAAGAUUAAUACCGCAUAAUAUUACAGUUUCGCAUGAAGCAGUAAUUAAAGGAGUAAUCCGCUUUGAGAUGGACCCGCGGCGCAUUAGCUAGUUGGAGAGGUAACGGCUCACCAAGGCAACGAUGCGUAGCCGACCUGAGAGGGUGAUCGGCCACACUGGGACUGAGAUACGGCCCAGACUCCUACGGGAGGCAGCAGUGAGGAAUUUUCCACAAUGGACGAAAGUCUGAUGGAGCAACGCCGCGUGCAGGAAGACGGCUUUCGGGUUGUAAACUGCUUUUAUUUGGGAAGAUUAUGACGGUACCAAAUGAAUAAGGAUCGGCUAACUACGUGCCAGCAGCCGCGGUAA
Molecule: ribosomal RNA, 472 nt
Filed under: uncultured bacterium
Lineage: Bacteria
Description: partial 16S ribosomal RNA
Rfam family: Bacterial small subunit ribosomal RNA
Source: RNAcentral